Molecule: long non-coding RNA, 2857 nt
Organism: Dunckerocampus dactyliophorus (ringed pipefish)
Lineage: Eukaryota; Metazoa; Chordata; Actinopteri; Syngnathiformes; Syngnathidae
Exons: 3
Source: RefSeq, a predicted model, not a curated record
AGAGUAGCUAAGGUGGAAGUUUUUCGACAAUUUUAAGAUAAUUAAAUAUGUGAAAGUGCGAUUAAUGGCGAUCAGGCCCCGUAGUUUUAUUGCGUGUGUUGUUCAAGGCGUUUUGUGCACGUCGUUGUGUACGCUAAACCCGUUUUCUGUCGGUAAAUACGACUUUGUACUUUGUUAAUGCUAUAGCUAGCCGGCUGACUUCCAGUCGUGCGCUCGUCGUCCUUUCUGACGGAGCGCUCGUUUUUAAUCACCAGCAGAGCCAGAUGGCGGUGCCUUCAAACAACGCCUCAUUGUUGGUUCCUCGCACACAGAUUGCCGAUGAUGGACUGCAGCUUUAGUAGAUCCAUCCCAUAAUAGGAACCCUCCAGAAGCUCAAGGAUGGUGGCCAGCUAGAAUGAUCAAAUCGACCAACUUGAGGAUGAUGAUCCUUUGUUUUUUGGGUGAUGAUCUUGUGUGAUAAAUAUAAUUAAUAGAACAGAGUGAUGCUUCACCUUGACAUCAUCUUUUGCAGCUUCCCUAAGCUUUUUCAGCCUGAGCUCUCCCUCGCAGGGGUUGACCGCUGACGGAGGAGCGAUGCAGGCGCACUUACACUCCGGACCGGAUGUGAUGGUCUCCACCGUGUAUGUAUCCUGCGCGCCCGCGCUGCCCUCCUCUAUCCGUCGGCAGGCGCUCCUGCUCAGGGGUCUGACAACACAUUUACAGCCACAGUCAGAGCCUUCCGAGACGGCUUUCACUUUGUCAUAAUCACCCAGCAGCUACAAAGACAAAAAGGACGGGAGGAUGAGGUGAGAAAUUCGGCUCCACAGUCCACCGUACUUGUUCAGGUCCAUCCUGUCGAAGGCCAUGGGGUGGUCAUGGGAGAGAAACUUCCUCUGGAGGUGGUCAUCCACCAUCUCCUCCACGCUGCUAAGAGAAGCCCCGACAGGAAUCUCCUCCUCGUCCUCCAGCAGCACGGUGAAGAUGAGAAACGUCUUCUUGUACGCAGCAUUCUCAUGGUCGCAGUAGCGGUAGAAAAUUAGGGUGGAGCCUGGAGGCAGCUGCUCGAAGCGAUGGAUGACUGCCACAGGUUUGUCUCCCUCAAAGGCUCUCUGCAGCUGCCCAUCAAUGUCCAGCUUCACCUGGUCGCUGUCCUCACCGACUUUGCUGGUGCAGUCUAUGUGAAGGACGGUAGCGUUGAGGGCAGUGGAGAAGGCGGAGGCCAGGUCGUGGGCAAGGCACCGCAGCGUCCUCCUGCCUGAGACUCCCGCUGUCAAGAUCAGACUGACUGGCUCGCUGGGCUGAGGCGCUAGGAGGUGCCUCUUCAGGUGGAUCCUGCUCCUGCUCCACAGCUCUGGACGCUGGUGAGGGAAGCGAGUCUUGACUUUGUCCAUUUCCUUAAGGAAGAUGUCGAUCUGCGGAACACUGCUUGGUAGCGGAGGCUCAGGCUGGAGGAGAUGCUGCACCAGGAUGGCGACAAGUACCACCAUGCUAAGUGCUAUCAGGUAUCUUGUAACUGUAUGGACAGAAGAAUGUACAGUAUGUUGGACAUAUACAUUAUUCAUCACUAUCCCCUUCUUCCAUUUUGUCAGCACUCUCACUGCUCUACAGCACACAGUAAGGUUAUCAAGGCGAGGGUUGUCAUUAAUAUCAUCAAUUACUGUACAUGGCACACCUCCAGGACUGGUAGUGACUUCUGUUGCUAAACCAGCUUCCUGAGUGGUUGGACCAAUGGUCUCCACUUUACUCCUUAGGUCAUCCAAUGGCUCCUCCAGCAACACUUUUUCAGGACUUGAACCGGUGUUCAGGCCUAGUCCAAUAUCUGAUCAACGAGAGGGAGGAAUGUAAACAAAAUAAGCAGUUUUAUAUUUACAUGUACUAUUAUGGCAGUACACAAGGGGAAAAGAAGUUUCGCUUACCUUUUUCCUCAUUGUUUGUGUCUUCUUGGAGCACUGCUGUGGGACCGUCUACCUGAUUGUAGUUUGUGUCGCCCACCAUUGCUUCUGUCAUCUCUUCCAGCGCUUUAUCAUUCCUCGGUUGGUCCUCUUCAGCUAGAGUAAAAAAUUAGGUGUCCGCAUUAAAUUAACUACAAUGUAACUACAGUCACUUCACAAAAAUACUGUGAGGCUGUCAUGGAGAUAGGGGAACACUGACCAGCAAACUCCUCUGCUUUCAUUGCCGGCGCUUCAUCUCUCUGCACCCCUCUGCCAUCAUCACAGUCAUCUCUGCCGUGGUCUGGUGGAGGGGAGGCGGCACUCGUCUCCACGUUGUUCUUGCCGAGCUCACCUUGACUCCAUCCAUCAUCUGUCAAAGGCACAGACCUCUCCUCAGCCUGAUCACGAUCUGCAGAAUAGGAUUAUGAACAAAAUGCUAAAUACCAUAAAUGCUGUCUUAUUCAGUCACCAUGUGUGUGGUCUACAUAAGCCAUUCACUGCAGAGGUCUCUUGAUUAGCGCUGGUGUAAUGACGAGACUUGUGCCCUCAUCGACUUGUGCCACCUAGCGCUACUGUGCAUGCAUAUAACAAAGAAACCUGUUUUCAAUGUUCUAACCGUCAAAUUAUGUCACUUUUUAGGGAGAGUAGAGUGUUAUGACAAAAUAACCCAAUUUGUGUAUGGAAUUAUAGAUUAUUUUGACUGGCAAAAUGUUUUAUGACUAUAUCCUCCCCAGGUAAUUGCAGUGUCAUAUUGUUGCAUUAUAUAUGUAACGGAUGCCAGCCUGUGGGCUGUGCGAAUGCACAUUGGUAAAACCUCACUCCCUCUGCCUUAAGAGCUGCACUGAACACGCGGCCGACAGUCCGGGCUUUUAGUCGCAUGGUCAUCGCCCUCGCCUCCCAUUACGAAGAUCCUGUGUUCAAGCCCCGGUGCAAUGCGAAACAGGGCG